This 40243-nucleotide long non-coding RNA is filed under the name Hordeum vulgare. Its description in RNAcentral is "long non-coding RNA (HVUL_LNC013750)". Lineage: Eukaryota; Viridiplantae; Streptophyta; Magnoliopsida; Poales; Poaceae. The record is from RNAcentral.
CUAUGUGAAAAGGGGAGGUAAGAGGAAGCAUGUUAAAAAACCUCCCUCGAGCACAUAGCAAAGAUAAAUAAAUAUCACCUAUCUUUGCAACACCCUUCCCAAUUUUCUUUAACUUCACUGAAAUCAUCACCGUAUAUAACAGAGUAAUUAGGUUUAAGUGUGUUUUUUAGAUAAGAAAUUCACAGAAUCUAUCCUUGUUGAUAGAAAGAAAGCUAAUUUAAGAUGAAAAAGAAGUGCUCGCGGAUGUGAAUAAGACCACCAUGAAGCAUGCCUCCUUUGCAAUCAAUCUAUCAAAUCUGUUGUGCAUAUUUUCUGUCAGUGUCCCUUCUCUGUGGGAACGACUUGAGCUCCAUCAAGAUGCCUUGGUGGAGCAACGUCGCUACGUACUGGGAACCAAAAGAAUGCAACUGUUGCAGCCUAUUCUUCCUGGCAUAUUUGGAACGAACGAAAUCAAUGUAUUUUUCAGAACUCCAUCGCGAACCAUAGCGUUGCCGUCAGUCAGAGAUCAUCUUUGAUCUCGCCAAGCUGGGUGCCCCAAAUCCGCGGGUUUAAUCUCUCUCAUUGUUGCACAGUCAGCGCCUAAUGGCGACUGAACCCCUUUCUUGUUCUCCUAAACUAUUACAUGAAUCUUCCUAGUCUAUAAUGCAAAGGCCGACAGUAUUUCAAUCAAUACCUCUAAAUAUUCAAUUCAGGCGAGCAAUAGUGGAAGAAAGAUGGGCUGUCUGGAUGCACUUGGUAAGACGUUUGAUGGAUGUUCAACCGUCGAACCAGAUAGAUUCCGUUCACUGGAAAUUAACUACGUCUGGUAGGUUUACGGUGAAAUCAAUGUACAAUGAUUUAAUUAAUUCUGGAGCAUUUUCGAGAUCUUUACAUAUUUGGUAGAUCAAAGUGCCGCUCAGAAUUUAGAUUUUCAUGUGGUUCUUACACAAGGGGGUUGUGUUAACCAAAGAUAAUUUGAUUAGAAGAUGAUGGAUAGGCAGUCAUAAAUGUUGCUAUUGUGAUCGAAAUGAAACAAUUAAACACCUCUUUCUUGAUUGUCCUUUGACUAAACUUUUAUGACACACUGUACAAAUAGCUUUUAUCAUUUUUCAAUCAACAAGCAUUAGCACGCUAUUUGGAGCGUGGCUCAACGAAGUGGACAUAACUAUAACGAAUCAUAUCAGGAUUGGAAUAAGUGCACUAUUUUAGGCUAUAUGGAACACGAGAAUAAUUAAACCGUGCUAACACAUUGUCAUCAACAUGCUCACUACUUUAAGGAAACAGAUGCUUUUUACACCGAUAAAUCGCGAGUGGACAUGCAACCACGCGCGGUUUAAUAUCCACACCGCAUGUUACCACGUGAUUCGUGCAAGUCCAAUACUUAAGGCUGGUAUAAACCAAUAUGCCAUCUUGGUAUUGCCCUCGUAUUUGCCCAACGGAUAGCUGCACCACGCGGACGCUCCCCAUGCACGGUCCUUUUAAACUUCGUGUUGCUUCUCUCUCUGCCGCCCAACCUUCUUCUCACUUCUCCUCCAUUUCUCUCGGUCUUGCCGCAGCUCUCAACCAUUUGUUCAUUCAAGUCCCAACAUAGCUCCACUCCUCCGGCAUCACGCCACAGUCCACACCGCCAAACCAGGUGCCACCGCUCCCUCAUCAGUUGCCCGGAAUGCAACGCGGGGUAUGUGAUUUGCUUUGUAUGUGGAACGGAAGAAAACCCAAGAAGGCACUUCUGACUUUUUCAAGUGUGAACGGCAUGGAGUAAUUUUUUCAAGAUCAUCCCCGUCCAUCUCCUCAAGUUUGUUGUGUGAUUACAGUACGGGGAAGUCAGUUUCGGAAAGUGGGAGAACAAUUACAUACAGUACUUUAGCGCGGGAUGGGGGCAUCUGAUUACACAUGCAUCGCUUUAUCGCCACGUAUCACUUCUUGAACAGAAUCAAGCAUGGCUGAAGAACAUUUUCAUCCCGGGCGUCGUCAACCUGCUGGUCAUGGCCAUGAUCUUCAUGCGCAAACUCUGAAGCUCCCCUCCGGUGUGUUGGGAUAGCUAUAGCUUGCCUGGAACCAAUUAUGACACCCAAAUGUCAAAUGGCAAACCAACAGAUGGUGUUACCAACGUUUCUGAACCCCUCUCAGCAAAACCUGUCAGCGUUGUUUCUAGUGUAGUUACCCUUUCAGCGGUUGUUGACCUCUCGUCUGGCAUCGCAACUCUCCUUGGCGAACCUCAGCAUAAUUUAACAAAUCUGCUAAUCUACGAGUCGGUCAUCUUCAGUCACCUUUUGCUCCGUGCCGAGCCGCCACGAAUGGCUUCCAAAGAUAAGAGAAUCAGGGUGGAAGGUCAACUCCAACGCCUCACUGGAGAAACCAGACCCAGAACUCAGCUCGAUCGCGCCCACGAAAGUUGUAGUGCUGUAGGAUUGAGGCAGGCGCAAGAUGUUUUCCUGCAGGAGACGAGACACAAGCAAGCAGGCAUGCUCGAAUGAUGUCCAUACCCAAGGACACGAGCAGUUAUGCCAUCACCUGGGCGUGCAUAACAAACAAAGCAUGUUCAUACGAUCAUAAAUAUCGCCUGGUACACUCACAGUGCGUAUAGCGCAACGUUGGUAACUAACAUAUCACAUAUUUUGACUGAGCCUAUAAUAAAUAGCAAUCGCAACGCAUGCACGGACGUCCGGGAUUUCGGCAGUGCUCGGGUGUAUGUCCCAAAAAUCCGCGUCCCUUUCUACACUACCUAUUUGAACAUGUCAAAAAUAAUGGCACUAGAAGAAGUUAAACAUAGUUUCACGCAUCCAUAGGCCGUGGAUGUUGUAAGGAAGCAUCAUCGCAUCAUCACAGUGGUUGCCACAACCUUUAGAGUAUCUCCAACAAUUUUUGUAUAUUGGAUUGUUAUAAAAACUUGUUAUAGCAAGAGGGAAGAGAAGGUUUACAAAGCCAACAUGUUUUUUUUUGCAUUGGUAGCCUUUGUAUAUUGGAUUGCUGUCGUAGAGAAUUAGAUUUAGGUUGUGCAACUCUCAAUAUUGAUUGGAUGCACUAGACACGUAUAUAUAAGUACAAGAUGUGCCUCUACCUCAACUAUACAAGGAACUAGGAGGUGGGUCCAAUGACACAAUAUACAUGCACAAAUAUAUAUUCAACACCUCCUCGCAGUCGAAGCGUCACCAGAGACACAGAGACUGAAACGAAACUUCUCAAAGCCAACAUGUUUUUUUGCAUUGGUAGCCUUUGUAUAUUGGAUUGCUGUUUUAGAGGAUUAGGUUUAGGCUGUGCAACUCUCAAUAUUGAUUGGGUGAUAUAAAGAACUAGGAGGUGGGUCCAAUGACACAAUAUACAUGCACAAAUAUAUGUUCAACACCCCCUCGCAGUCGAAGUGUCACCAGAGACACAGAGACUGGAACGAAACUCCUCAAAGGUGAAAGUAGGCAGCCCCUUAGUCAUCACAUCGGCGAACUGUUGUGCGCUCGAAACAUGAAUAACCUAGAUGUGACCAAGGGCGACCUGUUCACGCACAAAGUGGAUAUCAAGCUCGAUGUGCUUCGUCCGACGAUGAUGAACGGGGUUGGCAGAAAGAUACACAACAGAGACGUCGUCACAGUAGACAACUGUAGCCUUAGUUACACCGUGAUGCAACUCCUGUAAAAGCUGUCGAAGCCAGGAACACUCGGCAACUGCGUUAGCCACUACUCGGUACUCGGCCUCCGCGCUGGAGCGCGAAACGGUUGGUUGCUAUUUGGACGACCAUGAGAUAAGUGAAGGACCAAGGUAGACGUAGUAGNNNNNNNNNNNNNNNNNNNNNNNNNNNNNNNNNNNNNNNNNNNNNNNNNNNNNNNNNNUCGUGUAUCAGGACAGCUGACCCAAUCAGCAUCCGAGUAAGCCACCAGAUCCAAAGAGGGAGAAGUCGUGAGUGUGAGUCUGAGGGACCUUGUGCCAUGGAUAUACCGAAGAAUCCGUUUCGCGAGCGCCCAAUGGAGAUCACGAGGAGCGUGCAUAUGGAGGCACACCUGCUGCACAACAUACUGCAAGUCUGGUCUGGUGAGUGUCAGAUACUGAAGAGCACCAACAAUAGAGCGAUAAAAUGGAGCAUCCGACGCCAGUGAACCAUCAUGAGCAGAAACCUUGGCCUUCAUGUCAAUAGGAGUAGCGACAGGAUGACAUUUGAGCAUACCAGCGCGCUCAAGCAGCUCAUGUGCAUACUUUUGUUGAUGAAGAAAGAAGCCGUCAGGUCACCGAACAACCUCAAUACCAAGGAAGUAAUGAAGAGCUCCCAAAUCCUUGAUGGCAAACUUAGUACACAGCCGUAGAGUAAUCUGUUGAAGAAGAGAUGCGAAGGAGGCCGUGAGGAUGAUGCAAUCGACAUAUAGUAGCAAAUAAGCAGUCGUGUCGCUGUGGUGGAGAAGAAACAAUGAGGCGUUCGAGCGAGUAACACAAAAGCCCAGUGUCUGCAGAAAACCGACUAUACGCUGGUACCGUGGAGCUUGCUUAAGGCCAUAGAAAGACCGGGACAACAAGCAUACAUGACUGGGAUGAGUGGCGUCGAUGAAACCAGUGGGUUGCUUACAGUAAACCUGCUCGGCAAGAUGACCAUGGGGGGAGGAGUUGGAAACAUCCAUCUGAUGAACAGGCCAGCCACGAGAGACCGCACUACUAGAAAAAGGCUGUUACUAUUAUCACGUCAUUAGUAAUUUUUUUUCAGAAUUUUUUUCAAUUUUUUUUCAUAUUUUUCCCCCUUUUUUCUUAAUCUAGGAUCACUAUGCUUAAUCUCAAGUCAAAUCGCACUCCGUGGUCAAACUUCCCGGAAGGUCACCCAUCCUCACACUACUCUAGCCCCAACACGCUUAACUUCUCAAUUCUAUCCAACCCUAGCACCAGCUCACUUAACAGACACUUGUUGAUAUAUAUCUAUCAUAUCAAUCCUAUUAAACCUUGUUGAUGUCUAGGACUUUGUUCAUGUUAUGAGUGUGAUAAAUUUUUUAAAAAAUAUUUCAAACUUCCAGGUCAUAUUACGUAUCACAUUUGAACAUUAUUUUUAAAAAAAAAAAUCAAAACCAAUAUUUUUUUCUGUUACUAGUGGCGCACCUAGCAAAUGAUGCGCCAUUACUAAGUUUGAUUUUUUUUUCUAUUCCCCCCCUCUAGAUCUUAAAAGCCUCGUAUCUUUUAUUCUGUUAGGUUUUUGGGGAUUCUAAAAAUCUUCAACGGGGUUCCAUAUUCUGAUAAGCCGAGCAAUCAAGAUAUUUUAGACUCUGCAUGAAAUCACAAUUUCAUCUCUUUAGAACAUCACUUAUGUUCCAUGGCGUUUUACAACGUUUUUCGGUGCCUUGCUUCUAAGCCAUUAAGUAUUUUGCACUGAACUAUCGUGUAGUCAUCAGAAACGUGUAUGUCGGAUGUUCACAGCAUCCACAGACGACGCUCGAGGUGCAGCACACCGAGUGGUGCAUUAAGGACAUAAGCCUUCUGCGUAGCAACGAGGACAAUCCUCGGUUUUACAGACUUAGUCUGCAAAGUUUGCUACUAUUAACUUUUAACUAAAUUUUCUCUAGGAACAUAUAAAAACAGUAGAGCUAUAGCGCAAGCUACAUUGUAAUUCGCAAAGACCAUUAGACUAUGUUCAUGACAAUUAGUUCAAUUAAUCAUAUUACUUAAGAACUCCCACUCGAAAAGUACAUCUCUCUAGUCAUUUAAGUGGUACAUGAUCCAAUUCCACUAUCUCAAGUCCGAUCAUCACGUGAGCCGAGAAUAGUUUCAGUGGUAAGCAUCUCUAUGCUAAUCAUAUCAACUAUACGAUUCAUGCUCGACCUUUCGGUCUCAUGUGUUCCGAGGCCAUGUCUGCACAUGCUAGGCUCGUCAAGCUUAACCCGAGUGUUCCGCGUGUUCAACUGUUUUGCACCCGUUGUAUGUGAACGUUGAGUCUAUCACACCCGAUCAUCACGUGGUGUCUCGAAACGACGAACUGUAGCAACGGUGCACGGUCGGGGAGAACACAAUUUCCUCUUGAAAUUUUAGUGAGAGAUCACCUCAUAAUGCUACCGUCGUUCUAAGCAAAAUAAGGUGCAUAAAAGGAUUAACAUCACAUGCAAUUCAUAAGUGACAUGAUAUGGCCAUCAUCAUGCGCUUCUUGAUCUCCAUCACCAAAGCACCGGCACGAUCUUCUUGUCACCGGCGUCACACCAUGAUCUCCAUCAUCAUGAUCUCCAUCAACGUGUCGCCAUCGGGGUUGUCGUGCUACUCAUGCUAUUACUACUAAAGCUACGUCCUAGCAAUAUAGUAAACGCAUCUGCAAGCACAAACGUUAGUUUAAAGACAACCCUAGAUCCUAGCAAAAUAGUAAACGCACCUGCAAGCACAAACGUUAGUAUAAAGACAACCGUAUGGUUCCUGCCGGUUGCCGUACCAUCGACGUGCAAGUCGAUAUUAUCUAUUACAACAUGAUCAUCUCAUACAUCCAAUAUAUCACAUCACAUCGUUGGCCAUAUCACAUCACAAGCAUACCCUGCAAAAACAAGUUAGACGUCCUCUAAUUGUUGUUGCAUGUUUUACGUGGUGACCAUGGGUAUCUAGUAGGAUCGCAUCUUACUUACGCAAACACCACAACGGAGAUAUAUGAAUUGCUAUUUAACCUCAUCCAAGGACCUCCUCGGUCAAAUUCGAUUCAACUAAAGUUGGAGAAACCGACACUCGCCGGUCAUCUUUGAGCAACGGAGUUACUCGUAGCGAUGAAACCAGUCUCUCGUAAGCGUACGAGUAAUGUCGGUCCGAGCCGCUUCGAUCCAACAAUACCGCGGAAUCAAGAAAAGACUAAGGAGGGCAGCAAAACGCACAUCACCGCCCCCAAAAACUUUUGUGUUCUACUCGAGAAGACAUCUACGCAUGAACCUAGCUCAUGAUGCCACUGUUGGGGAACGUCGCAUGGGAAACAAAUUUUUUCCUACGCGCACGAAGACCUAUCAUGGUGAUGUCCAUCUACGAGAGGGGAUGUGUGAUUUACGUACCCUUGUAGGCCGUACAGCAGAAGCGUUAGUGAACGCGGUUGAUGUAGUGGAACGUCCUCACGUCCCUCGAUCCGCCCCGCGAACUAUCCCGCGAACAGUCCCACGAUCUAGUGCCGAACGGACGGCACCUCCGCGUUCAACACACGUACAGCUCGACGAUGAUCUCAGCCUUCUUGAUCCAGCAAGAGAGACGGAGAGGUAGAAGAGUUCUCCGGCAGCGUGACGGCGCUCCAGAGGUUGGUGAUGAUCUCGUCUCAGCAGGGCUCCGCCCGAGCUCCGCAGAAACACGAUCUAAAGGUAAAACCGUGGAGUUAUGUGGUCGGGCUGCCGUGGCAAAGUUGUCUCAAAUCAGCCCUAAAACCCCACUAUAUAUAGGAGGAGGAGGGGGGAGCCUUGCCUUGGGGUCCAAGGACUCCCAAGGGGUCGGCCGAACCUAAGGGGGAAGGUGUACCCCUCCCAAACCGAAUUCUACUUGGUUUGGAAGGUGGAGUCCUUCUUCCCUUUCCCACCUCCUUCUUUUUUUUCUUUUCUCUUUGAUUUUUCUUCCAAUGCGCNNNNNNNNNNNNNNNNNNNNNNNNNNNNNNNNNNNNNNNNNNNNNNNNNNNNNNNNNNNNNNNNNNNNNNNNNNNNNNNNNNNNNNNNNNNNNNNNNNNNGCGGACAAGGCUGGUUACUUACCGGGUGCGUCCGUGGGCGUUUAAGGGUCAUAUUUACCAUGUCCGGCUGUAGAUGCUCUUAUAUCAUUUUCUUAAAACACGUGGCCCUGUGAGCUCAAAUUGGCUAUGAUCAUUGUAGCUCAUUUUGCAUCUUUGUUUUUUUAGAAAUUUGUAGAUAGCAUGUAAAUUAUGAUCCCGGUCAAAAAAUUAAUGUUCAAAUAUUCAUGCUAUAAAUAUUGUUAAUACAAACGAAAUAACUUAUUCUCAAAACUGUUCAUCUAUUAUUUUAAAAAUAUGUAUACAUUUAAAACUAUUUUAUGAAUUACAAAAUGUAUGCAUAAUUUAAAAUAACAGAAAUAUGUGUAAAGUUAUAAUUCCAAAUAUUAUUUUAAUUAUAUACAAAUAUUUCAAUAAUUAUAUGCGCAUUUGUAUAGUUCAAUUUCCAUAUAAUUACAUAUUCAUAAUUUAAAAUUUAAAUAGUUGAUAUGAAUAUUCAGUCAUGUCAAAUAUAAUACAUAGGUUUAUAUUUUAAAUGUUUUAUUCACUAAUCAUCGUUUUUAUGUAUAAUAUUUUAUUACUUACGUUUUACCAAAUAUUUUUUAUAUAAUACUCAAGCUNNNNNNNNNNNNNNNNNNNNNNNNNNNNNNNNNNNNNNNNNNNNNNNNNNNNNNNNNNNNNNNNNNNNNNNNNNNNNNNNNNNNNNNNNNNNNNNNNNNNUUCUUCUUAUAAUAUUCACUAACAAGUGGGUCUUCCUUAGGCUUUAUUGUGUAACUACAAAAAUUAGGAAGCACCGUAUUUGCACCAAACAACAAAUCAGAUGACCAUAAAUCCAUAUUUUACAAGUUUUAGCACCAAACUAAACAUCCAGGGCUAGUUCUUUGUCCGUCAGUGAUAUUACCUCUAGAAGAACAUGUCUCUUGUGUCCUCGAUAAAGACAUGCCCACAAGAUAAAACAAUGGACGUUUGCCAACGUUUGGCCCAACCAUGAACCAUAUGUGUAUCCUAUGAAAGAUCCACCAAACUAGAAUGUGUGGAUUGAGCAUAAGGAGCUCUUAUGUGCCUCUUUAGGGCAGUUGCACUUUGAGAUUAAUUUAAAUGGGUGUCUUAUUUAGCUCGGUCAUUAAAUUUGGUAUAUUUUUUCAUUCAUAAUUCAUAUUUUCUAUGCAAGUUUUUUAUUAGUAAACUUUUUGUAAUUUUUUUUAUGUUUAUCAAAAAACAUUGUACAUAUUUCAAAAUAAAAUGUUAAUGUGCUGUCUAAGUGUUAUUCCUAUAUGUUAUAAAAAAGCGUACUAUGACUUAGGAAAAAUGUUCAUGAGCUCAAAAUAAAAAUGUGCAUGCUCCAAAAUAAAUUUUCAUGGAUAAUAAAAAAUAUUAUUCAUGUUCAUGAACAAAAUAUGUUUGUAUAUAAAAUCUCAUAUAUAUCAGAAUUUUUUUAUUAUGUGUUUUGAAAAGAACAUGUAUUUAUGAAAAAUAUAAAAACAUUAAAAUUAGUUAGAUGUAUAAGUAAAAAUAUUCAUGAAUUUUCAAAAUGAUUAAGGAAAAAUGUAAAAAAAAGAAAAUGAAAAUGAAAAUUUUAUAUUGAGAGAAAAUAUGGAAAAUAGAACGGAACAGAAAGGGGGACUUAUGACACAAGAUUAAACAGGGGACUUAUUGAAACGUUUGGCCCAACCAUGAACCAUCCUUCUAGCCUAUUAAAGGCCCACAAAACUAGAAUAUGUGGAUUGAGCAUAGGGAGCCAUCAUAUGUGCCGUUUUAGGGCAGUUGCGCUUCGAGACUAAUUUAACUGGGGGGUUUUAUUUAGCUUGGUAAUUAAAUUAGGUAUAAUUUUCAUCGAUAAUCCAUUUUUUAUGUAAAAGUUUGUUAUUAGUUAAAAUGUUAUAAAAAUGUAUUAUGCUUAUCAAACAAAAAUUGUGCGUAUUUCAAAAAUAAAAUGUUAAUGUAUUGUCAAAAUGUUAUUCCUAUAUGUGAUAAAGGUAUACUAUAACUUAGGAAAAAUGUUCACGACCUGAAAUGAUAGUACGCGUGUGUUUUAAAAUAAAUUUUCAUGCAUAAUCAAUAGUAUCGAUGUUCAUGAAUAAAAACAAUUGUAUAUCAAAAUAAAAAAAAGUGUUUUGAAAAGAACAUAUAUUUAUGAAAAGGAUAGAAUUAUGAAAAUUAAAUUAAAUGUAUAAGUAAAAAAUAUUCACGCAUUUGCAAAAAUAGGAAAUUUAAAAAAAUACUAAAAUUUAAAUGGAAAUAAAAUAUUAAAAAGGGAAAAUAGAAGGCAAAAAGGGGGAAAUGCAACAAAUAUUAAAAAAUGUGGAGUUUAAUCUUCGAAUUUUCCAAUAAAUAACCGUGGGGGUGUUUUUUUUGCCCUUUUUAGGUCUAAGAGUCCAAUGUGAGUAAUACCAUGCACGUAUUGCUAAGAAUAUUUUGUGAGAAGAUAUGGUUUGCUUUUCUCGUCAAAGAAGAAAGUAAACUCGCUCACCGGAACCCCCUNNNNNNNNNNNNNNNNNNNNNNNNNNNNNNNNNNNNNNNNNNNNNNNNNNNNNNNNNNNNNNNNNNNNNNNNNNNNNNNNNNNNNNNNNNNNNNNNNNNNUAAAACUGAUGUCAACAAAAGCUGGUGGUUCCUUAGAUGAUCCAUAAUUCCUAGGGCUAAACUUCUAUAUAUCUUCCUCGAGCAAAUUUUAACAUGCUCCCUCUUACUCGUUAUUUUCAUAUGGGAGGUAAGAAGGUAAGAGUUAAUCAGAUCCAUUAAUAAAUGCAAUCAAUGGUUCAGAUCUAUGUUAUACUCUUACCUCUAUGUGAAAAGGGGAGGUAAGAGGAAGCAUGUUAAAAAACCUCCCUCGAGCACAUAGCAAAGAUAAAUAAAUAUCACCUAUCUUUGCAACACCCUUCCCAAUUUUCUUUAACUUCACUGAAAUCAUCACCGUAUAUAACAGAGUAAUUAGGUUUAAGUGUGUUUUUUAGAUAAGAAAUUCACAGAAUCUAUCCUUGUUGAUAGAAAGAAAGCUAAUUUAAGAUGAAAAAGAAGUGCUCGCGGAUGUGAAUAAGACCACCAUGAAGCAUGCCUCCUUUGCAAUCAAUCUAUCGAAUCUGUUGUGCAUAUUUUCUGUCAGUGGCCCUUCUCUGUGGAAACGACCUGAGCUCCAUCAAGAUGCCUUGGUGGAGCAACGUCGCUACUGGGAACCAAAAGAAUGCAACUACCGCUGCCUAUUUUUCCUGGCAUAUUUGGAACAAACGAAACCAAUGUAUUUUUCAGAACUCUAUCUCCAACCAUGACGUUGCUGUAAGAGCACAAUUUAUGCUAAGUAGUUUUGGUGGCUGGGGAAUACGCCGUCGGCUUUGCAACGUCCUUCCCUUUAUAAUACUAUACAACGUAAGAAAGAUUACGUUGNNNNNNNNNNNNNNNNNNNNNNNNNNNNNNNNNNNNNNNNNNNNNNNNNNNNNNNNNNNNNNNNNNNNNNNNNNNNNNNNNNNNNNNNNNNNNNNNNNNNUUAAGAGGACCAGAGGGCAAAAUCCAAUGCAAGGCCCUACGCAUACCUGCCCAUCUAGCGCAUGGAUGUGAUNNNNNNNNNNAAUGGUUGAACAUAUAAAUCUUUUUGAAUACAUUCUUUUGUAACUCUCAAUCAGUACUACAUUGUCGAUUUAUACAUAAGAGGACCAGAGGGCAAAAUACAAUGCAAGGCCCUACGCAUACCUGCCCAUCUAGCGCAUGGAUGUGAUUUGAGCAAUUUUAGGCCAUUAAGCAUCAUCUUCGUGCAGUCCCUACCCAAAAGGAGCAACUAUAUUUUGUUUUCUCGAAUGUGAUAUAGUGAUAUGUAUUCACAUAUUUACAGGUGCAUUGAUGUAUUUGUAUAAUUUUAAUUCAAAAACCACAAAAUUAAUCUAGAAUAAGUUAAUUUUUGUGUUUAUAAUCGUGCAUCCACCUUGGAAAAUACUUUUCCGUUCACGACGGAUGAGUCUUCCAUUGGGAAAGGCAGAGUCUCAUUCUCAAGCCUCACGGGAGGGUGUAGGCACAUUUUUUUCUCCCGUUGCAACGCACGGGCCUUUUUGCCCAUGUGACCAUCUUUAUAGAAGCUACAAAAAAAAUUCUUGAAAUUUGAUACUAUACAAUCAAAUUAGAUAUCAUCNNNNNNNNNNCUUCUCCCGUUGCAACGCACGGGCCUUUUUGCCCAUGUGACAAUCUUUAUAGAAGCUACAAAAAAAUUCUUGAAAUUUGAUACUAUACAAUCAAAUUAGAUAUCAUCGUAAAUUUUAAUCUCUCGCGAGACACAGGGAUUGGAGGUUUCCUCUCGAGAAGAUGGAUGAGAGAGGAUGACGAUGAGAUGUAUUUAUCUACCACUUUAGGACCAUGAGAUAUCAUAUGUGCAUAGCCUAUUCCUCAUGUCACAUUACAUUUUUCUUGAUACACACAUUUUGUUAUCCCGUGGCAAUGCACGAAAGGGAUCGCAUACUUUUAGGAAACCAAGUAAAGAAAGAGCGGAGAGAAAACUGAAGUUAUAUUUGGUGUCGCCAAAUAACAAUAGUUGAGAUUACCUUCAGGAAGAAAUUCCAAAGUAUAUAAAAAAGCAAGGAGUANNNNNNNNNNNNNNNNNNNNNNNNNNNNNNNNNNNNNNNNNNNNNNNNNNNNNNNNNNNNNNNNNNNNNNNNNNNNNNNNNNNNNNNNNNNNNNNNNNNNACUCAUUUCGGGCACUUGAAAAAUAAAAAAAAUGAGUUUUUCAUACAAGGAAGGUGAAAACUUCCUUAAUCAACAUUGUUUGUCAUUCCAACAUGCACCAUUAUGCAAAAUAUGAGACCAUUUCAACAAACUAUGCCAUGAUUAUGGCCAUGAGAUUGAUCAUGUGGCUUGAAAGCCAUGAAUCUUCACACAUGAUAGCUCAUUUGUGUGAACACUUUUUAAAAAUAAUUGUCGUAUUACAAGUUUAUUAUUUUACAUGGUAACUUUAUCACAUAUGAUGACAUAAUGCAAAGGUUUCCCAUUUUUUUGAACUUUUUUGAAUUUUUCAUGUCCGUUUCAAAACGCGGUCGAAACGGCGGGCAUGACCGUUCCUACCUAGUGGUUGAAUCUUGAAAACCUUGUGGUGUUUCUAUGAUUAAGUAGAUACUUGUGUACCUAGAAAUGAUUUUUGGUAAAAAUAAAGAGCAAACUAUAAGGCAGACGGAGUUCAAAUUUGACCCGCUUCCAACUGAUUCGACAUAGAUUUGUCUUUUUCACGAGAGAUGGAUAAAAGCUUUUGACACCCAACCAUUUUGUCAAUUGUACAUUAAAUAUGGCCUAGUNNNNNNNNNNAGUGACAUAAUGCAAAGGUUUCCUAUUUUUUUGAUUUUUUUUAAUUUUUCAUGGCCGUUUCAAAAUGCGGUCGAAACGGCGGGUAUGACCGUUCCUACCUAGUGGUUGAAUCUUGGAAACCUUUUGGUGUUUCUAUGAUUAAGUAGAUACUUGUGUACCUAGAAAUGAUUUUUGGUAAAAAUAAAGAGCAAACUAUAAGGCAGACGGAGUUCAAAUUUGACCCGCUUCCAGCUGAUUCGACAAAGAUUUCUCUUUUUCACGAGAGAUGGAUAAAAGAUUUUGACACCCAACCAUUUUGUCAAUUGUACAUUAAAUAUGGCCUAGUAUGUUAGGAAAAUGAUUUGGACCAAUUUUGAAACAAAUAUAUGGUAGGUCCUUCACAAAAAAACUCAUUUCGGGCACUUGAAAAAUGAAAAAUGAGUUUUUCAUACAAGGAAGAUGAAAACUUCCUUAAUCAACAUUGUUUGUCAUUCCAACAUGCACCAUUAUGCAAAAUAUGAGACCAUUUCAACAAACUAUGCCAUGAAUAUGGCCAUGAGAUUGAUCAUGUGGCUUGAAAGCCAUGAAUCUUCACACAUGAUAGCUCAUUUGUGUGAACACUUUUUAAAAAUAAUUGUCAUAUUACAAGUUUAUUAUUUUACAUGGUCACUUUAUCACAUAUGAUGACAUAAUGCAAAGGUUUCCCAGUUCUGAAAACAACAGCAACAUGCAACAUCUCAAUUCAGUUCUCUGAUGUAGAUAGCAAGAGCUCUCUGAUGUAGUUCAAAAAUAGCUCUGAAAACAACAUCUCAAUUCAGUUCAAAAAUAGCUCUCAAAACAACAUCUCAAUUCAGUUCUGAAAAUAGCUCUGAAAAAAACAUCUCAAUUCAGUUCUGAAAAUAGCUCUGAAAACAACAACAGUAAAAUAGCUCUCUGUGAUAUCAAUGUGAAUGAGUAGGGAUUGCCAUACAAGAGAUGCACUAGAGCUAUAAGUAUGUGAAAGCUCAAGAGGAGAACUAGUGGGUGUGCAUCCAACUUGCUUGCUCACGAAGACCUAGGCCAAUUUUGAGGAAGCCCAUCAUUGGAAUAUACAAGCCAAGUUAUAUAAUGAAAAUUCCCACUAGAAUAUGGUAGUGACAAAGCAAGAAGCUCUCAAUCAUGAAGAACAUGGUGCUAUUAUGAAGCACAAGUGUGGAAAAAGAUAGUAGCAUUGUCCCUUCUCUCUUUUUCUCUCUUUUUUUUAUUUGGGCUCUUAGGCCUCUUUUUUUGCGCUCUUUGGCCUCUCUUUUUUUCCUCACAUGGGACAAUGCUCUAAUAAUGAUGAUCAUCACACUUUUAUUUACUCACAGCUCAAAGCUUAGAACGAUGAUGACUCUAUAGAAAAUGCCUCCGGCAGUGUACCGGGAUGUGCAACGAUCUAGCUUGGCGUAUGACGUUGAAACAUCUCGCUAGCUAUCUUACGAUCAUACAAAGGCAAUAUGAGAGUGACAGCACAAGUCAUGAGACGGAACGGUGGGAGUUGCAUGGCAAUAUAUCUCGGAAUUGCUAUGAAAAUGCCAUAGUAGGUAGGUAUGGUGGCUGUUUUGAGGAGGGCAUAUGAUGGGUUUGUGCACCGGCGAGAAUUGCGCGACACUAGAGAGGCUAGCAAUGGUGGAAGGUGAUAGUGCAUCUAUACCAUUGACUCACAUUAGUCAUGAAGAACUCACAUACUUGUUGCGAAAGUUUUUAUUAGUAAUCAAAAGUGCUAAACGCAUACUCCGAGGGGAAGGGUUGGUAGGUAUGAACCAUCGCGCGAUCCCGACCUCAACACAAAGGAUGACAAUCAAUAGAUCAAUUAUGCUCCGACUUCCUAACAUAGCGGUUCACCAUACGUGCAUGCUACGGGAAUCACUAAGUUCAACACAAGUAUUUCUAGAUUUACGACACCCUACUAACAUAACUCUUAAUAUUACCGAAUCCACGUCUCAAAACUAAUUGAGAGGAAUCAAGACUUCUCUUUCUACUCAAUGCACAUGAAGAUGGAGGUUUUUGUAUCCUCUUUGGGUACCUAUCACAUUUGGGACUACUUUCAUAGCAUAAGCCAACUACCAAGUCACGCACCGCCGUGCUCUAAAAGAUAUAAGUGAAGCACAUAGAGCAAAAGUAUCUAGCUCAAAAGAUAUAACUAAAGCACUAUGAGCAUUCUAGCAAAAAUCACGAUGAGUGAAUGUCUCUUUCUCUCUCUCAAAAAGGUGUGCAGCAAGGAUGAUUGUGACACAACAAAAAGAAAAGACUCCUAUGAUACAAGACGCUCCAAGCAAAACACAUAUCAUGUGGUGAAUAAAAAUAUAGUUCCAAGUAAUGUUACCAAUGGAUUGAAGACGAAAGAGGGGAUGCCUUCCCGGGGCAUCCCCAAGCUUAGGCUUUUUGGUGUCCUUGAAUUUGGCUUGGGAUGCCUUGGGCAUCCCCAAGCUUGAUCUCUUUCCACUCCUUAUCUCUUUGUCCAUGAGAACAUCACCCAAAACUUGAAAACUUCACAACACAAAACUUAAAGAGAAAUUCGUGAUAACAUUAGCACAAGAAAACAAACUACCACCACUUUAGGUACUAUAGCAAUAUUGAUUUAUAUUUAUAUUGGUGUUGGGCUACUGUAUUCUCACUUUUCCAUGGCUAGUACCCCCCCCCCCCCNNNNNNNNNNNNNNNNNNNNNNNNNNNNNNNNNNNNNNNNNNNNNNNNNNNNNNNNNNNNNNNNNNNNNNNNNNNNNNNNNNNNNNNNNNNNNNNNNNNNNNNNNNNNNNNNAUCAAAAUAAGCAACCAACUCAACAAAAACAGAAUGUGUCCAAAACAGACCAGUCUGUAGCAAUCUGUAUACUUCGUAUACUUCUGGUACCUCCAAAAUUCUGAACAAUUACGACUGCCUGGGCAAAAGGCAUAUCAACCAGCAGCAAAAAUAAUCAACUCAAAAUCUCUUUAUUAAUAAAAAUGAAAAAUCAUCUCGUGAGCGAAAAGUUUCUGUCUUUUUCCAGCAGGAUCAAACAACCAUUACCAAGACUAGUCAUAAAGGUUUUGCUUGGCUCAAACACAAAAAGAAACACAAAAUACACAAUCAUAAAUGAAUUAUGAUGGUGUGUACGUAACAAAACAGAAAGAAAAAGAAAUAAAUUCAUUGGGUUGCCUCCCAACAAGCGCUACUGUUUAACGCUCUUAGCAAGGCAUUGAUAAUUCGAUGAUGCUCACACAAAAGACAAGAAUUGAAGCACAACGAGAGCAUCAUAAAGCAUAUGAAAAUCACAUCUAAGUCUAACAUACUUCCUAUGCAUAGGCAUUUUAUAGGAAAACAAAUUAGCAAGACAAUCAAUAGUUACCAAAUGCAAGGAAGAAGAAAGAGACAAUAGCAAUCUCAACAUAACGAGAGGUGAUUUAGUGAUAUGAAAGUUUCUACCAUAAUAUUUUCCUCUAUCAUAACAAUUUCAUGUGGGAUAAUAUUCAAAUUCAACAAUAUAACUAUCACAUAGGAUAUUCUUUUCAUGAUCCACAUGCAUGCAAAGUUGACGCUCUUCAAAAAUAGUGGGAUUAUCAUCAACUAAAGUCAUGACUUCUCCNNNNNNNNNNNNNNNNNNNNNNNNNNNNNNNNNNNNNNNNNNNNNNNNNNNNNNNNNNNNNNNNNNNNNNNNNNNNNNNNNNNNNNNNNNNNNNNNNNNNCGAUUGCUUCCACCUCAUAUUAGCCAAAACUCCCGCACCAAGUAGAGAUACUACUUGUGCAUCCAUAAACCUCCAACCCAGUUUUGCCAUGAGAGUCCACCAUACCUACCUAUGGAUUGAAUAAGACCCUUCAAGUAAGUUGUCAUCGGUGCAAGCAAUAAAAAUUGCUCUCUAAUAUGUAUGGUCUAUUAGUGUGUGGAAAAUAAGCUUUGUACGAACCUGUGAUGAGGAAGACAUAAAAUCGACGCACUGCAUAAUAAAGUUCUUUGUCACAGGAUGCAAUAUAAAGUGACAUUCCUCUGCACUAAUAGGACACGCAUUCAAACCUCAAAAGUGCAUGACAACCUCUGCUUCCCUCUACGAAGGGUCUAUCUUGUACCUUUACUUUUUACCCUUGUAAGAGUCAUGGUGAUCAUCACCAAUUCCCUUUUUGCCUUUCUCUUGGCUACCGUCACAUGUUUGGGAAAGAUCUAUAUUCAUAUAUCAACUUGGAGUUGAGUACUUAUGCUUUAUUGUUGUUGACUUUACCCUUGAGGUAAACCGUUGGGAGGCAAAACCAUAAGCCCCUAUCUUCCUCUGUGUCCAGCUAAAACUUUGACACCAUGAGUACCACGUGAGUUGUAACAAUUGUGGAAAACGAAAGAGAUGAUUGAGUAUGUGGGUUUGCCUUACAAGCUCUUAUUUGACUCUUUCUGAUGUUGUGAUAAAUUGCAAUUGCUUCAAUGACUAUGGAUUAUUGUUGGUUACUUCUCGGUAAGGUUUUUGCUUCAUGCUUUGCUUUUUGAAGGAAUUGUUACUUUCCCAUAAGAAUCUUUAUGAUGUAUUGCUGUCCUAUGUGUGAUCAUGAUGCCCUCAUGUCCGUAUUAUGUUUUAUCGACACCUUCGUCCCUCAACAUGUGGACAUGUUGUUGGAACUUGGUUUUCGCUUGAGGACAAGCGAGGUCUAAGCUUGGGGGAGUUGAUACGUCCAUUUUGCAUCAUGCUUUCAUGUUGAUAUUUAUUACUUUUUGGGUAGUUAUAUUACUUGUGGUACCAUAUUUAUGCCUUUUCUCUCUUAUUUUGCAAGGAUUAUUUGAAGAGGGAGAAUUCAGGCAGCUGGAAUUCUGGACUGGAAAAGGAGCAAAUCCUAGUCCAUUAUUCUGCGCAUCUCCAAAUGCCCUGAAAAUUUACGUGGAUUUUUUCUGGAAUAUAUUAAAAAUACUGGGCGAAAGAACUAGCGGAGGGGGGCCACCAGGGCCCCACAAGCCCCCACUCCGCCACCACCCNNNNNNNNNNUCGUGGCGGUGGGCAAGCUUGUGGGCUGCCUGAAGGCCCACUAGCCCCCCUCUUUUUCUAUAUGAAGUGUCCUGGUCUGGAAAAAAAUCAAAAGGGAGCUUUUUCGUGGUUUCGCCGCCGCCACGAGGCGGAACUUGAGCAGAUCCAAUCUAGGGCUCCGGCAAGACGAUCCUGCCGGGGUAAUUUCCCUCCCGGAGGGGGGAAUCGUCGCCAUCGUCAUCACCAACACUCCUCUCGUCAGAGGGGAGGCAUCUUCAUCAACAUCUUCAUCAGCACCAUCUCCUCUCCAAUCUCUAGUUCAUCUCUUAUAACCAAUCUUCGUCUCACAACUCCGAUUGGUACUUGUAAGGUUGCUAGUAGUGUUGAUUACUCUUUGUAGUUGAUGCUAGUUGGAUUAUUUGGUGGAAGAGUUUAUGUUCAGAUCCUUGAUGCUAUUCAUUACACCUCUGGUCAUGAUUAUGACUAUGUCUUGUGAGUAGUUACUUUUGUUCCUGAGGACAUGGAUAAGUCAUGUUAAUAAUAGUCAUGUGAAUUUGAUAUUCGUUCGGUAUUUUGAUAUGUUGUAUGUUGUUUUUCCUCUAGUGGUGUUAUGUGAACGUCGACUACAUANNNNNNNNNNUUAUAUCUUGUGAGUAGUUACUUUUGUUCCUGAGGACAUGGGAUAAGUCAUGUUAAUAAUAGUCAUGUGAAUUUGAUAUUUGUUCGGUAUUUUGAUAUGAUGUAUGUUGUUUUUCCUCUAGUGGUGUUAUGUGAACGUCGACUACAUAACACUUCACCAUAUUUGGGCCUAGAGGAAGGCAUUGGGAAGUAGUAAGUAGAUGAUGGGUUGCUGGAGUGACAGAAGCUUAAACCCCAGUUUAUGUGCUGCUUCGUGAGGGGCUGAUUUGGAUCCACUAGUUUAAUGCUAUGGUUAGACUUUGUCUUAAUUCUUCUUUUGUAUUUGCGGAUGCUUGCGAGAGAGGUUAAUCAUAAGUGGGAUGCUUGUCCAAGUAAGGGCAGUACCCAAGCGCCGGUCCACCCACAUAUCAAACUAUCAAAGUAAUGAACGCGAAUCAUAUGAACAUGAUGAAACUAGCAUGACAGAAAUUCCCGUGUGUCCUCGGGAGCAUUUUUUCUCCUAUAAGACUUUGUUCAGGCUUGUCCCUUGCUACAAAAGGGAUUGGGCCACUUGCUGCACCGUUGCUACUACUUGUUACUUGUUACUCUUUGCUUGCUAUGUUUCACCUCGCUACACAAUCACUUGUUACCGCUACUUUCAGUGCUUGUAGUUAUAACCUUGCUGAAAUCCGUUUAUCAGAGCCUUCUGCUCCUCGUUGGGUUCGACACUCUUACUUAUCAAAAGGACUACGAUUGAUCCCCUAUACUUGUGGGUCAUCAAGACUCUUUUCUGGCGCCGUUGCCGGGGAGUGAAGCGCCUUUGGUAAGUGGAAAUUGGUAAGAAAACAUUUAUAUACUGUGCUGAAAUUUAUUGUCACUUGUCACUAUGGAAACUCUUCCUUUGAGAAGUUUGUUCGGGGUAUCUCCACCACGAACGGAAGCACGAGGAGUUUCUCCUCAACCUGAGGUACCUACUGAAAAUAUCUUUUAUGAAAUUCCUUUGGGUAUGCUUGAGAAACUGCUGGCUAAUCCUUUCACACGAGAUGGAUCUUCACAUCCAGACUUUCAUCUGAUCUAUGUNNNNNNNNNNNNNNNNNNNNNNNNNNNNNNNNNNNNNNNNNNNNNNNNNNNNNNNNNNNNNNNNNNNNNNNNNNNNNNNNNNNNNNNNNNNNNNNNNNNNAUCUUAUUUGAGNNNNNNNNNNGAUGUAAUCUUCUUUUCCGGUGUGUUUGUCUAGAUUCGAUGAAUUGUGGAUUUAUGAUCAGAUUAUCUAUGAAUCUUAUUUGAGUUUCUUCUGAUCUCUCUUAUGCAUGAUUUCAUAUCCUUGUAAUUCUCUUCGAGUUGUGGGUUUUGUCUGGCCAACUAGAUCUAUGAUUCUCGCAAUGGGAGAAGUGCUUGGUUUUGGGUUCAUACCGUGCAGUGACUUCACCCAGUGACAGAAGGGGUAGCAAGGCACGCAUCGUGUUGUUGCUAUCAAGGGUAAAAAGAUGGGGUUUUCAUCAUUGGUUUGAGAUUAUCCCUCUACAUCAUGUCACCUUGCUUAAGGCGUUACUCUGUUCGUCGUGAACUCAAUACACUAGAUGCAUGCUGGAUAGCGGUCGAUGUGUGGANNNNNNNNNNACACCCAGUGACAGAAGGGGUAGCGAGGCACGCAUCGUGUUGUUGCCAUCAAGGGUAAAAAUAUGGGGUUUUCAUCAUUGUUUUGAGAUUACCCCUCUACAUCAUGUCAUCUUGCUUAAGGCAUUACUCUGUUCGUCAUGAACUCAAUACACUAGAUGCAUACUGGAUAGCGGUCGAUGUGUGGAGUAAUAGUAGUAGAUGCAGAAAGUAUCGGUCUACUUGUCUCGGAAGUGAUGCCUAUAUGUAUGAUCAUUGCCUUAGAUAUCGUCAUGACUUUGCGCGGUUCUAUCAAUUGCUCAACAGUAAUUUGUUCACCCACCAUAAUACUUGCUAUUUUGAGAGAAGCCUCUAGUGAACACUAUGGCCCCCAGGGUCUACUCCACACCGUAUUUUCAUCCUUACACUUUUUACUUCAUUGCACUUUCCUCCUUCAGAUCUCACUUUGCAAACAAUCUUGAAGGGAUUGACAACCCCUUUAUANNNNNNNNNNGUUGGGUGCAAGCUCUUUUGUGUUUGCGCAGGUACUCUGGACUUGACGAGAUUCUCCUACUGGAUUGAUACCUUGGUUCUCAAAUUGAGGGAAAUACUUACUGCUCUGUGCUGCAUCACCCUUUCCUCCUCAAGGGAAGAACCAACGCAAGCCCAAGAGACGACAGAAGGAUCUCUGGCACCACUGCCGGGGAAGAACUUUUGUUGCCGUAGCAGUGGCCGCCUGGGCAGGUCCUGGCCCCCUCUGGCCCACCUUUGGUGCUCAUGAAGCUUCCGUCAUGCUGAUUUUUAUAUAUUUUCUCGGGAUUUUUGGCGUUGUGUAAAUUGGGGUAAAAGUCCCUGCAGAAAAGACAUCAGCAGACAGAAACUGGCACUGGGUGCAUUGAGUUAGUCAGUUAGUCCAAAUAUGUGUAAAAAUGUAUGAAAGUGUAGCAAAACAUAUAACAAUGUCACCCAAAAGAUCAUGGAAUAAACAUAAAUUAUAGAUACGUUUGGGACGUAUCAAUUCCUGCCAGAGGAGAUCGAAGAGCGUGGAGAGGCCAUAGCAGCGUCUGGGGAUGACGGGGUGUGGUGGCAGAAGUGGUGUAGUGGCGAGGCGGCGACACGAGGUGGUGGCGGCGACAACGGCGGGUGUGGCGGCAGGGAGAGGCGGCGGCGACGGCACGGAGGAAGGGCGCGACGGCGGCGGCGGCGUUGGUGGCGGCGACGCAAGAGAGGGCGCGGCGACGACGGCGGUGGCGGCGGCCGCGGCUGCGCAUGAGAUGCCGGCGGUGGCGACGAUGGCUAGGUCAGGAUCGUGGAGGAAACUGAUACCAUGUAGAGGAUUAGGUUUAGGCUGUGCAACUCUUAAUAUUGAUUGGAUGCACUAUGCAUGUAUAUAUAGGUACAAGAUGGGCCUCUGCCUCAACUAUACAAGGAACUAGAAGGUGUGCCCAAUGACACAAUAUACAUGCACAAAUAUAUAUUCAACAACUAUAUUUGCACAAAACACACAAUGACGUGUGGGGACAGUUUGUCAUAGACACAUUGCGCACUAGCAUACGUACAUGUAUAUAUAUAGUAGCAAAACUCGUAUUCACGUACACAUGCACACACGUGUGUACUUACACACAUGCAGCACACACACACACGUACACAUGCAGCACACACGUACACAUGCAACACACACGCGUACACGUAACAAAAAAACACGUACACGUACACACACAACACACGCGCAACACACACACUAGUACACGGACCCACCUGUCAUUGAGAUAAAGUGAGGCUUGUUAAAAAUUUAUAAAGUGGCCUUUGGCUUGGCAAAUAUGUAAAGUGUUGGUGCAAAUAUAGCAAGCUUUGUAAAAAAUAUUGAUGAAACCAUUUAUACAAAGGCUGUUGAAAAAGAUUUUUUGAAAAAGAUUUAUAAAAUAACAAGUGAACGUAAAUAUACAAAGGCUGUUGGAGAUACUUUGAACCAGGAAGCCAGCGUUCUGCUCUUUCUUUCCUGUACUAAGUGUCUCGUUGGUUGAAGCAACAUCUUCCCCAAUGCCUCACAAUCCAAUUACCAUUAUUCACCUCACAUGGGUGACAAAUCUUGAAUCCAUACACCACACGAGAAGAACAAAAGAGAAUGUAGAUCAUACCGGUGCCCAUCCUGUAUUUUAUUAUUAUAAAGUGGUGGAUAUGGACCAUAGUAUUUGUUGUAUACUUCUUUGCAUUGCAAGAAAUGAUGUAUCUUGAAGGACAUAUAUAGAGAGAGAGGGGUGUAAUGACCAUGUAUAGUUCUAGCUAUAAAUUAUGCAGCCGGGCCUGUAGAUAUCUCAACCACCUGCAUCCAUGAUACAAUUGAUUCUUUUGUGAGCAUUGGGAUUGCCCCACGAAAAGAAAAACAAAAAAACUGAGAGGCAACAAAAACUGAUGGUACGCGUCCUUAGAACUGCACGACAAGUGUAGUUAGCCAUCUCAAAACUGAUGUCAACAAAAGCUGGUGGUUCCUUAGAUGAUCCACAAUUCCAGGGGCUAAACUUCUAUAUAUAUCUCUCGAGCAAAUUUUAACAUGUUUCUUGUUACUCCCUAUUUUCAUACGGAAGGUAAGAAGGUAAGAGUUAAUCGGACUCACCAAUUAAUGCAAUCAAUGGUUCAGAUUUAUUUUACACUCUUACCUCUAUGUGAAAAGGGGAGGUAAGAGGGAGCAUGUUAAAAAACCUCAUCUUCCACAUAGCAAAAAUAAAUAAAUACCACCUAUCUUUACAACACCCUUCCCAAUUUUCUUUAACUUCACUGAAAUCAUCACCGUAUAUAAUAGAGCAAUUAGGUUUAAGUGUGUUUUUUGACAGUGGAUUUUUAACAUCUGGGUGCCUAGGCACGCUCUACGAACACUAACAUCAAAAUAAAUAGAAAAAAUAAUAAUUCUGAAACUUUGCAAGAUCAAAGACGAUCAAACUUUGUAGGUGCUUGUAAGUUUUCAUGCCAAAAAACAUUUGAGGAGGUCUACACAUGAAAAACAUUUCAGUACUUCAAAAUUUGAGCACUUUUAGCACCGAAAUCUAAAACUUGUUUGUACACCUUUCAUUACAUGAUAUUUUGGCAUGAAACUUGUUUCUCCCGAAGCAGUGUCCACCACCAACACCGUCGAGGAUCCACAUAGUGCCCACCACCACUUAGCCCUCAAGGCAACGCCUUCAGGAAGGUCACGCCGUCAAGGACGUCGCCGCCGCCCACCGGAGUUAUGGUUUUCACCCGAGGGCGGGUCGGGGGGAAGUAGAGGGGCAGACAUAGACUGGCGUCUCCAAGAAGAAAAUCGGCACCCUUGAGCGUCGUCGUCGGUGCGACCAGACGUGGCCGACCAAGAGUUUCCCCCAAUCUGUAUCUCCUUACCAGCUUCACCCGCAACCACAUGCCAAGGUCCCGGCAAGCCUGUCCGCUAGGAACCUUCACCCCCGCGCCCUGUGACCGAGUCCAAUCGUCGUGUCCCGACCACACCGACAACCAGCAUCACCACCAUGAGCUGCCCCACCGCGAAGACAAACAGGAGCAGGGAGCGAGCGAAGGACGCCCCAGCCCGGGCCAGCCACAUCCGCCGGGGGGCAGCCUCGCGCCAUCCGUGUCGCCGACGACCAGAUCGGGGUUGCGGACACCACGUGCACACCCCAAGCAGCCAUCCACGUAGUCACUAGGGCGCCACAACAGCCGUGGAGAACGCACGGGAGCCCGCCGUCGCCACCUGAGCCUGCCCCUCGCGCUCCGCCAUCAGCUCGCCGCCAGCCUCCGAGAGGACCGCCAGUGCCAUUCCCAUCAGCAGAGGGGAGAGGAAGUCCCGCCGCAGCCGACACCAGCUGUGCUUUGCUNNNNNNNNNNNNNNNNNNNNNNNNNNNNNNNNNNNNNNNNNNNNNNNNNNNNNNNNNNNNNNNNNNNNNNNNNNNNNNNNNNNNNNNNNNNNNNNNNNNNAUCUGAAACUUUGCAACAUUUUAGAUGGUCAAACUUUGUAGGUUCUUACAAGUUUUCAUGCCAAAAUAUCAUGUAGAGAAAGGUGUACAAACAAGUUUCAGAUUUCAAUGCUAAAAUAGCUCAAAAUUUGAAAAACUAAAAGUUUUUCCUGUGUAGAGGUCCUCAAAUGUUUUUUUGGCACGAAAACUUACAAGCACCUAGAAAGUUUGAUCAUCUUUGAUCUUGCAAAAUUUCAGAUUUUUUUAAUUUUUUUUCUAUUUGUUUUGAUGUUACUAUUCAUAAAGGAUGCCUAGACACCCGGGUGCUGAAAAUUCACUCUCAAAUUUUAGUACUCUNNNNNNNNNNNNNNNNNNNNNNNNNNNNNNNNNNNNNNNNNNNNNNNNNNNNNNNNNNNUCCGUCCAAAAAAAAAAAAUGUAUCAACUUUGUACGAACAUUAAUAUAAAGUUAUACUAUGGUUGACACAUUCAUUAUGGGACGGAAGGAGUAUAAGUUUUGGGAUGGCCUACCUUGCUUGUCACACAAUUCAAAUGAAGCAUCCUCACAUUGUGUUGCAUCAUGUUUGUGUUUGUGUGUCUGUGUGGGCAUCCUAAAGCUUAUAAACGAACCUGCUUCAUUCGUCCUGGGUAUGGUGGUCGAGAAAUGUAUAAGCCAUGACAUUCAAUUUUGUACCUGCAGGCUAUAUUAUUCAGCUAGACCUUCACACGAGAGUUACAUGCCCAUAUCUCACUCUCUCAUNNNNNNNNNNNNNNNNNNNNNNNNNNNNNNNNNNNNNNNNNNNNNNNNNNNNNNNNNNNNNNNNNNNNNNNNNNNNNNNNNNNNNNNNNNNNNNNNNNNNUACGAGUAACCCCGUUGCUCAAAGAUGACUGGCAAGUGUCGGUUUCUCCAACUUUAGUUGAAUCGGAUUUGACCGAGGAGGUCCUUGGAUGAGGUUAAAUAGCAACUCAUAUAUCUCCGUUGUGGUGUUUGCGUAAGUAAGACGCGAUCCUACUAGAUACCCAUGGUCACCACGUAAAACAUGCAACAACAAAAUUAGAGGACGUCUAACUUGUUUUUGCAGGGUAUGCUUGUGAUGUGAUAUGGCCAACGAUGUGAUGUGAUAUAUUGGAUGUAUGAGAUGAUCAUGUUCUAAUAGAUAAUAUCGACUUGCACGUCGAUGGUACGGCAACCGGCAGGAACCAUACGGUUGUCUUUAUACUAACGUUUGUGCUUGCAGAUGCGUUUACUAUUUUGCUAGGAUCUAGCUUUAGUAGUAAUAGCAUGAGUAGCACGACAACCCCGAUGAUGACACGUUGAUGGAGAUCAUGAUGAUGGAGAUCAUGGUGUGACGCCGGUGACAAGAAGAUCGUGCCGGUGCUUUGGUGAUGGAGAUCAAGAAGCGCAUGAUGAUGGCCAUAUCAUGUCACUUAUGAAUUGCAUGUGAUGUUAAUCCUUUUAUGCACCUUAUUUUGCUUAGAAUGACGGUAGCAUUAUGAGGUGAUCUCUCACUAAAAUUUCAAGACGAAAUUGUGUUCUCCCCGACCGUGCACCGUUGCUACAGUUCGUCAUUUCGAGACACCACGUGAUGAUCGGGUGUGAUAGACUCAACGUUCACAUACAACGGGUGCAAAACAGUUGAACACGCGGAACACUCGGGUUAAGCUUGACGAGCCUAGCAUGUGCAGACAUGGCCUCGGAACACAUGAGACUGAAAGGUCGAGCAUGAAUCGUAUAGUUGAUAUGAUUAGCAUAGAGAUGCUUACCACUGAAACUAUUCUCGACUCACGUGAUGAUCGGACUUGAGAUAGUGGAUUUGGAUCAUGUACCACUCAAAUGACUAGAGAGAUGUACUUUUUGAGUGGGAGUUCUUAAGUAAUAUGAUUAAUUGAACUAAUUGUCAUGAACAUAGUCUAAUGGUCUUUGCGAAUUACGAUGUAGCUUGCGCUAUAGCUCUACUGUUUUAUAUGUUCCUAGAGAAAAUUUAGUUGAAAGUUGAUAGUAGCAAACUUUGCAGACUGAGUCUGUAAAACCGAGGAUUGUCCUCGUUGUUGCACAGAAGGCUUAUGUCCUUAAUGCACCACUCGGUGUGCUGCACCUCGAGCGUCGUCUGUGGAUGCUGUGAACAUCCGACAUACACGUUUCUGAUGACUACACGAUAGUUCAGUACAAAAAUACUUAAUGGCUUAGAAGCAAGGCGCCGAAAACGUUGUAAAACGUCACGGAACAUAAGUGAUGUUCUAAAGAGAUGAAAUUGUGAUUUCAUGCUUGUGCCCUUGUUAAGAGGUACGAGACCUCCGACAAGAUUCUUUGUCCACAAAGCACAGGAGAAAAGGCUCAAUCGUUGAGCAUGUGCUCAGAUUAUCUGAGUACGACAAUCGCUUGAAUCAAGUGGGAGUUAAUCUUCCAGAUGAGAUAGUGAUAGUUCUCCAAAGUCACUGCCACCAAGCUGUGAGAGCUUCGUGAUGAACUAUAACAUAUCAAGGAUACAUACAAUGAUCCUUGAGCGAUUCGCGAUGUUUGACACUGCGAAAGUAGAAAUCAAGAAGGAGCAUCAAUAGUUGAUGGUUUGUAAAACCACUAAGUUUCAAGAAAGGCAAGGGCUAGAAGGGAUACUUCGUGAAACGGCAAAACAGUUGCUGCACUAAUGAAGAGACCCAAGAUUAAACCCAAACCCAAGACUAAGUGCUUCUAUAAUGAGGGGAACAAUCACUGAGGCAGAGCAACUCAAGAUACUUGGUAGAUAAGAAGGCUGGCAAAAGUCGAAAGAAGUGUAUUUGAUAUACAUGAUGUUGAUGUGUACUUUACUAGUACUCCUAGUAGCACGAGGGUAUUGGAUACCGGUUCGGUUGCUAAGUGAUUAGUGACGCGAAAUGAAAGCUACGGCAUAAACGGAGACUAGCUAAAGGUGAGGUGACGAUACGUGUUGGAAGUGUUUCCAAGAUUGAUAUGAUCAAACGUCGCACGCUCCCUCUACCAUCGGGAUUGGUGUUAAACCUAAAUAUUUGUUAUUUGGUGCUUGCGUUAAGCAUGAACAUGAUUGGAUCGUAUUUAUUGCAAUACGAUUAUUCAUUUAAAGAGAAUAAUGGUUACUCUAUUUUCUUGAAUAAUCACCUUCAAUGGUUUAUUGAAUCUCGAUCGUAGUGUUACACAUGUUCAUGAUAUUGGUGCCAAAAGAUACGAGUUGAUGAUGAUAGUACCACUUACUUGUGGCACUGACGCUUGAGUCAUGUUAGUAUAAAUUGCAUGAAGAGGCUCCAUGUGCUGGGGAACGUCGCAUGGGAAACAAAAAAUUUCCUACGCGCACGAAGACCUAUCAUGGUGAUGUCCAUCUAUGAGAGGGGAUGAGUGAUCUACGUACCCUUGUAGAUCGUACAGCAGAAGCGAUUAGAGAUCGCGGUUGAUGUAGUGGAACGUCCUCACGUCCCUCGAUCCGCCCCGCGAACAAUCCCGCGAUCAGUCCCACGAUCUAGUACUGAACGGACGGCACCUCCGCGUUCAGCACACGUACAGCUCGACGAUGAUCUCGGCCUUCUUGAUCCAGCAAGAGAGACGGAGAGGUAGAAGAGUUCUCCGGCAGCGUGACGGCGCUCUGGAGGUUGGUGAUGAUCUUAUCUCAGCAGGGCUCCGCCUGAGCUCCGCAGAAACACGAUCUAGAGGAAAAACUAUGGAGGUAUGUGGUCGGGCAGCCGUGAGAAAGUCGUCUCAAAUCUGCCCUAAAAGCCCCAUAUAUAUAGGAGGAGGGCAGCCGUGAGAAACUAGAUGAAAUAAGAUAGUAACUUGUUGGAAGUGAUACAUUUUGAUGUAUGCAGUCCAAUGGGUGCUGAGGCACGCAGUGGAUAUCAUUAUGUUCUUACUUCACUGACGAUUUGAGUAGAUACAGGAGUAUUUACUUAAUGAAUCACAAGUCUAAAAUGUUGAAAAGUUCAAUUCCGUUUCAGAGUGAAGUUCGUCGUAACAAGAGGAUAAACUGUCUACGAUAUGAUCAUGGAAAUGAAUAUCUGAGUUACGAGUUUUGGUACACAGUUAAGACGAUGUGGAAAUUGUUUUGCAGUUCAUGCCACCUGGAACAUCAUAGUGUGAUGAUGUGUCUGAACGUCAUAGCCACGCACUAUUUGGUAUGGUGCAUACUAUGAUGUCUCUUAUCGAAUUACCACUAUCGUUUAUGGGUUAUGCAUUAGAGACAACCGCACUCACUUUAAAUAGGGCACCGCGUAUUUCCGUUGAGAUGACACAGUAUAGACUGAGGUUUAGAGAAAUCUAAACUGUCGUUUCUUGAAAGUUUGGGGUUUCGACACUUAUGUGAAAAAGUUUCAGUCUGAUAAGCUCGAACCCAAAGCGGAUAAAUGCAUCUUCAUAGGAUAUCCAAAACAGUUGGGUACAUCUCCUAUCUCAGAUCCGAAAGCAAAGUGUUUGUUUUAGAAACGGAUCCUUUCUCGAGGAAAGGUUUCUCUCGAAAGAAUUGAGUGGUAGGGUAGUAGAACUUGAUGAGGUUAUUAAACCAUCACUUCAACCAGUGUGUAGCAGGGUGCAGGAAGUUGUUCAUGUGGCGCCUACACCAAUUGAAGUGGAAGCUGAUGAUGAUGAUCAUUGAGCUUCGAAUCAAGUUACUACAAAUCUCGUAGGUCGACAAGGUCGCGUACUGUUGCAGAGUAGUACGGUAACCCUGUCUUGGAGGUCAUGUUGUUGAGCAACAGUGAACCUACGAGUUAUGGAGAAAGCGAUGGUGGGCCCAGAUUCCGACAAAUGGCUGGAAGCCAUGAAAUCCGAGAGAGGAUCCAUGUGUGAAAACAAAGUGUAGACUUUGGUAGAACUACUUGAUGGUCAUAGGACUAUUGAGUAAAAAUGGAUCUUUAAAAGAAGACAGACGAUGAUGGUGAUAAGUCACUAUUAAGAAACGCUCGACUUGUCGCAAAGAUGUUUUCGAUAAGAUCAAACAGUUGACUAUGAUGAGACUUUCUCACUCGUAGCGAUGCUAAAAGUCUGUUAGAAUUAUGUUAGUUGUUGAUGCAUUAUUUAUGAAAUAUUGCACGUAGGAUGUCAAAACAUUGUUUUCUCGACGGUUUCCUUGAGCAAACAUUGUAUGUGAUACAACCAGAAGGUUUUGUCGAUCCUAAAGAUACUAGCAAGUAUGCAAGCUCCAGUAAUCCUUCAAUGGACUGGUGCAAGCAUCUCGGAGUUGGAAUAUACACUUUGAUGAGAUGAUCAAAGAUUUUGGGUUUGUACAAGGUUUAUGAGAAACUUGUAUUUCCAAAGAAGUGAGUGGGAGCACUAUAGAAUUUCUGAUAGGUAUAUGUGGUUGACAUAUUGUGGAUCAGAAGUAAUGUAGAAUUUCUGUAAAGCAUACAAGGUUGUUUGAAAGAAGUUUUCAAAGGAGUACCUGGAUUACGCUACUUUAACGUUGAGCAUCAAAGAUCUAUGGAGAUAGAUCGAAAGCGCUUAAUAGAAGUUUCAACAAGAUGCAUGCCUUGACAAGUUUUUGAAAGAGUUCAAAAUAGACCAGCAAAGAAGGAGUUCUUGGUUGCGUUGUGAGGUGUGAAUUUGAGUAAGACUCAAAACCCGACCAUGGCAGAAUAAAGAGAAUAGACGAAGGUCGUCUUCUAUGCCUUAGCCGUAGAAUCUAAAGUAUGCCAUGUUGUGUACCGCACCUGAAGUGUGCCUUGACUCAAAGUAUGUUGAGAGGUAUAGAGAGUGAUCCAUGAUUGAAUCACUAGCAGCGGUCGAAAUUUAUCCUUAGUAACUAAUGGACUAAGGAAUUUUCUCGAUUAUGGAGGUGGUUAAAGAGUUUGUCGUAAAGGGUUACGUCAAUGCAAGCUUUGACACUAAUCCGGAUAACUAUGAGUAGUGAAACGGAUUCGUAUAGUAGAGUAGAUAUUUGGAGCAUUUCCGAAUAGCACGUAGUAGCAGCAUCUAUAAGAUGACAUCAAGAUUUCUAAAAAACGCACGAAUCUGAAAGUUUCAGAACCGUUGACUAAAACCUCUCUCACGAGCAGGACGUGAUCAGACCCCAUAACUAUAUGGGUGUUGGAUUCGUUGGAAUCACAUGGUGAUGUGAACUGAAUUAUUGACUCUAGUGCAAGUGGGAGACUGUUGGAAAUAUGCCCUAGAGGCAAUAAUAAAUUAGUUAUUAUUAUANNNNNNNNNNNNNNNNNNNNNNNNNNNNNNNNNNNNNNNNNNNNNNNNNNNNNNNNNNNNNNNNNNNNNNNNNNNNNNNNNNNNNNNNNNNNNNNNNNNNAUGUAGUCGACGUUCACAUAACACCACUAGAGGAAAAACAACAUACAACAUAUCAAAAUACCGAACGAAUAUCAAAUUCACAUGACUAUUAUUAACAUGACUUAUCCAUGUCCUCAGGAACAAAAGUAACUACUCACAAGACAUAGUCAUAAUCAUGACCAGAGGUGUAAUGAAUAGCAUCAAGGAUCUGAACAUAAACUCUUCCACCAAAUAAUCCAACUAGCAUCAACUACAAAGAGUAAUCAACACUACUAGCAACCUUACAAGUACCAAUCGGAGUUGUGAGACGAAGAUUGGUUACAAGAGAUGAACUAGGGAUUGGAGAGGAGAUGGUGCUGAUGAAGAUGUUGAUGAAGAUGCCUCCCCUCUGACGAGAGGAGUGUUGGUGAUGACGAUGGCGACGAUUCCCCCCUCCGGGCGACGAGAGGAGUGUUGGUGAUGACAAUGGCGACGAUUCCCCCCUCCGGGAGGGAAAUUUCCCCGGCAGGAUCGUCUUGCUGGAGCCCUAGAUUGGAUCUGCUCAAGUUCCGCCUCGUGGUGGCGGCGAAACCACGAAAGAGCUCCCUUUUGAUUUUUUUUCCAGACCAGGACGCUUCAUAUAGCAAAAGAGGGGGGCAAGUGGGCCUUCAGGCAGCCCACAAGCUUGCCCACCACCACGAGGGGGGUGGUGGCGGAGUGGGGGCUUGUGGGGCCCUGGUGGCCCCCCUCCGGUAGUUUUUCGCCCAAUAUUUUUAAUAUAUUCCAGAAAAGAUCCACAUAAAUUUUCAGGGCAUUUGGAGAUGUGCAGAAUAGUGGACUAGGAUUUGCUCCUUUUCCAGUCCAGAAUUCCAGCUGCCUGAAUUCUCCCUCUUCAAAUAAUCCUUGCAAAAUAAGAUAGAAAAGGCAUAAAUAUGGUACCACAAGUAAUAUAACAGACCAAAAAGCAAUAAAUAUCAACAUGAAAGCAUGAUGCAAAAUGGACGUAUCAGUGGUCUACCCCAAGACACAAGGUAUGUAUAUGCUAUGUUUGCUGAUUUAUGUUCUACACAUCAGGAUGGGAAUGGGCCAUGGUCCCCUUCUUCCUCUUCCAUGUUUCUGAUCAGAGUAGGAACAAUAGAGAGCAUCAACUUUCAAAAUCAACACCAUAUGUAUUACACUGACUCUUAUAUAGUACUAGUUGUUCAUGUACUUGUGCUAGUGCAGGAUAACUGAAAUAUUUCCAAAUCAAAUAUGCUCAGACUCGUAUUGUCCUACUAUACUACUGCCUAUUCCACUUUCUUUCAACUUGGCAAAUAACAUUAUGCGUUUUUGUAGGAAACCUGUGUGUCGAACAAGAUUAAUCGAGAAAAGGUCGUGUACCAAUAGAGAGCUGGUUCCAGGCACUACACCGCACACAUUUUUGCCACUGUGAGUACCUUUUUCUAAAGACCUUACCGUUUGAUCCUCGUUGAAUAUCAUUUCUUAUUCUUGCUGAAUAGCAUUUCGAUUUUUGUUGAAAAACAUUUCAGAAAGAAGAGCGUAAGGGUGAGGAGCUGUCUGCGAUUGACUUGUUCAAGGCCACCCACAACAGCAAGAAGCACGGGUUUUCGGAGCCAGUCAAGAUUGCUAUAGUAAGUCACUCCAUGCUUUUGUCCAGCUAGUUCAAACUUUUGUCUAUAGACCUCAGCCCUGUUUGAUUCACAGCCAGCAAGAACACACACUAUGUUCCAUGAUUUGAUGUUGUUUGCUAGAGCCUAAGAUAGGUUUGGUAUCUCAACAAAGAUAUCGGAAUUUGUUGUACAGUUCUCAACAAAGAUAUCAGAAUUUGCUGUAGCUAUUUGUUGCAUUUUUAUGAUAUGAUGAAAAUUGAUUUGAAUGUUAGUUCUCAACAAAGAAGCCAUAUUAUAUAGAACCACCAUAUUGUUCUGAUUGCAUGUCUCUAGAUCACAUAAGCGUGUAUACUUACUGUAGCCAGAUUCAAAUAAUGCUAUAAGUUUAGUAGUUAUCAUCUACUUCUGUUUGAGUUUGAGUAAAAUAUCUACAUAUAGAUUUUGUGUGCUGGUUUGAUUACUUCAAAUAAUCCAUUUCUUGGUCUGGUUUGGUGGCAUUCUUGUUUGGUUUCUCUUGCAGAAUGUGAAAUAGAUCUGCCACUAAUGUCUAUCAUUUUACUCCAUAUGCUAGCUUGAGAUGGAAAAAAUGAAGGACGCGCCGAUACCAGAAGGUGAAGAACCAAAGUCUAAUGCUGAGAUUGUUGAAGAAGUGCUCAAGACUGAAGUCAACCAAAGCACAUUCCUCAGGAAUGUUGGGCUCAAGUCAUCUAGUAAGAACUCUGGCAAAGGAACUGCUGUUGUGGCUGCUCAUGUUCGUGAUCUUCAACAGAAGCUGGAGAGGUCGGAGCUUCAAGCUGAAGUGAUGCAAGAAGAAAUGGCAGCAAUCAAGCUAAAGGUGGAAGAAUAUGAAGCUGCACGCGACAAGGAACUUGAGCUGCUGCAUAAGAAGUCUCAGGAACAGGAAGAGAAGUUAGCCCACUUGAUGGCUCUCUUCGGCGCUAAAGCAUUGUAGAAGUUGAACCUGUUGUUAGAACCUGUCCUAGAAACAGUGAAGUGGGCUAACUUCUCAAGAACCUGAUGAAGUUAGCCCACUUGAUUGGUCAUUCUGGUGAUCAAACAAUGUCGUGCUCUAUUUUGUGAAGUCGUGCACCUGUGAAGUUGUCAAUUAUUUAAGUUUUGUUUUGACCAUUUUGUUUGGGCACUAAAGUUAGUUUGGACAGCAAAAAGGCCAAGGCCCAAACAAGAAAUAGACUAAGAAGGCUUGGGCCUAAAAAAAGAGUAGGCCAAGGCCCAAAAGAAAAGUGGACUAAUAAAAAACCUGCUCAGUAAAAGAUUCUAUCCGAGAAAAUAAAAAGGCCAAAUUAUUGGGCCCGGCUCAUGUAGAUGAUCGGAAUGGACCGGGCUGAAUCUUAUUUACGACCUUUUCAUUUGGUCAUAAUUCUGCCACGUCAGGCUGUCACGGUGGAUCUGACAUGGUGCGGGCAGAUUGCUAGUGACCAAAUCAUUUGGUCGUUAAACUUACGACCUUCUGUUUGGUCAUAAAAUCUUACGACCAAUCCAGAAAAAAGGUCGUUAUAGUUCAUUAAAGACCCUCAGCUUUAGACCUUCUGUUUUUGGUCAUAAAAAGGUCACAAAUGGAAAUCAAUGACCAUUUAGUGACCAAUAUUGAAGGUCGUUAGUUGACAUAUUUCUUGUAGUGCCUUUUGAGUUUUCACAUACUUAUAGCUCUAGUGCAUCCUUUGUAUGGCAAUCCCUAAUCAUUCACAUUGAUAUCUAUUAAUGGGCAUCUCCAUAGCCUUUUGAUAUGCCGAGUCAAUGUGACCAUCUCCUCCUUUUUGUCUAACAACCACCACCACACUCUAUUCCACAUAUAGUGCUAUAUCCAUGGCUCGCGCUCAUGUAUUGCGGGAUAGUUAUAAAAAGUUUGAGAAAGUAAGAGUGUAAAAACAAUUACUUGGCCAAUACCGGGGUUGUGCAUGAUUUACAUUAGUUGUGUGAGGAUGAUGGAGCAUAGCCAGACUAUAUGAUUUUGUAGGGAUAACUUUCUUUGGCCUUGUUAUUUUGAAAGUUCAUGAUUACCUUCCUAGUUUGCUUGAAGUAUUAUAGUUUUCAUGUCAAUAGCAAACUAUUGUUUUGAAUCUUAUGGAUCUGAACAUUCAUGUCGCGUGAAAGAAGUUGCAAAGGACAACUAUGCUAGGUAGCAUUCCACAUCAAAAAUUCAUUCUUUAUCACUUCCCUACUCGAGGACGAGCAGGAGUUAAGCUUGGGGAUGCUUGAUACGUCUCCAACGUAUCUAUAAUUUUUGAUGGUUUCAUGCUAUUAUCUUGUCAAACCUUGGAUGUUUUGUAUGCCUUUUAUAUAUUUUUUGGGACUAACUUAUUAACUCAGUUUCAAGUGCCAGUUCCUGUUUUUUCCAUCUUUUUGAUCCCUUUCAGAGGAGGAUUUUAAACGGAGUCCAAACGGAAUGAAACUGCCAAAAAGAUUUUUUCCGGAACAGAAAAAGAUCGGAGAGCCGGAGAAUCAGGACAGGGGCCCACCAGGGACCCCACAAGCCCUCAUGGCGCGGCCAGGGGGAGGCUGCGACCCCCUGGCUUGUGGGCUCCCUGAGGCCCCUUUGCCCUAGGUUUUGCGCCUAUAUAUUCCCUAAAAAUCCCAAAAAAAUCAGGAGAUCAUCGAAAGUACUUUUCCGCUGCCGCAAGCUUCUGUCUCCGCAAGAUCCCAUCUGGGGCAGGUUCUGGUGUCCUGCCGGAGGGGGGAUUCGGAUACGGAGGGCUUCUUCAUCAACACCAUGACCUCUCCGAUGAUGCGUGAGUAGUUCACCAUAGACCUACGGGUCCAUAGCUAGUAACUAGAUGGCUUCUUCUCUCUCUUGGAUCUUCAAUACAAAGUUCUCCAUGAUCUUCAUGGAGAUCUAUCCAAUGUAAUCUUCUUUUGCGGUGUAUUUGUCGAGAUCCGAUGAAUUGUGGAUUUAUGAUCAGAUUAUCUAUGAAUCUUAUUUGAGUUUCUUCUGAUCUCUGUUAUGCAUGAUUUCAUAUCCUUGUAAUUCUCUUCGAGUUGUGGGUUUUGUCUGGCCAACUAGAUCUAUGAUUCUCGCAAUGGGAGAAGUGCUUGGUUUUGGGUUCAUACCGUGCAGUGACUUCACCCAGUGACAGAAGGGGUAGCAAGGCACGCAUCGUGUUGUUGCUAUCAAGGGUAAAAAGAUGGGGUUUUCAUCAUUGGUUUGAGAUUAUCCCUCUACAUCAUGUCACCUUGCUUAAGGCGUUACUCUGUUCGUCGUGAACUCAAUACACUAGAUGCAUGCUGGAUAGCGGUCGAUGUGUGGAUUAAUAGUAGUAGAUGCAGAAAGUAUCGGUCUACUUGUCUCGGACGUGAUGCCUAUAUGUAUGAUCAUUGCCUUAGAUAUCGUCAUGACUUUGCGCGGUUCUAUCAAUUGCUCAACAGUAAUUUGUUCACCCACCAUAAUACUUGCUAUUUUGAGAGAAGCCUCUAGUGAACACUAUGGCCCCCAGGGUCUACUCCACACCGUAUUUUCAUCCUUACACUUUUUACUUCAUUGCACUUUCCUCCUUCAGAUCUCACUUUGCAAACAAUCUUGAAGGGAUUGACAACCCCUUUAUAGCGUUGGGUGCAAGCUCUUUUGUGUUUGCGCAGGUACUCUGGACUUGACGAGAUUCUCCUACUGGAUUGAUACCUUGGUUCUCAAAUUGAGGGAAAUACUUACUGCUCUGUGCUGCAUCACCCUUUCCUCCUCAAGGGAAGAACCAACGCAAGCCCAAGAGACGACAGAAGGAUCUCUGGCACCACUGCCGGGGAAGAACUUUUGUUGCCGUAGCAGUGGCCGCCUGGGCAGGUCCUGGCCCCCUCUGGCCCACCUUUGGUGCUCAUGAAGCUUCCGUCAUGCUGAUUUUUAUAUAUUUUCUCGGGAUUUUUGGCGUUGUGUAAAUUGGGGUAAAAGUCCCUGCAGAAAAGACAUCAGCAGACAGAAACUGGCACUGGGUGCAUUGAGUUAGUCAGUUAGUCCAAAUAUGUGUAAAAAUGUAUGAAAGUGUAGCAAAACAUAUAACAAUGUCACCCAAAAGAUCAUGGAAUAAACAUAAAUUAUAGAUACGUUUGGGACGUAUCAAUUCCUGCCAGAGGAGAUCGAAGAGCGUGGAGAGGCCAUAGCAGCGUCUGGGGAUGACGGGGUGUGGUGGCAGAAGUGGUGUAGUGGCGAGGCGGCGACACGAGGUGGUGGCGGCGACAACGGCGGGUGUGGCGGCAGGGAGAGGCGGCGGCGACGGCACGGAGGAAGGGCGCGACGGCGGCGGCGGCGUUGGUGGCGGCGACGCAAGAGAGGGCGCGGCGACGACGGCGGUGGCGGCGGCCGCGGCUGCGCAUGAGAUGCCGGCGGUGGCGACGAUGGCUAGGUCAGGAUCGUGGAGGAAACUGAUACCAUGUAGAGGAUUAGGUUUAGGCUGUGCAACUCUUAAUAUUGAUUGGAUGCACUAUGCAUGUAUAUAUAGGUACAAGAUGGGCCUCUGCCUCAACUAUACAAGGAACUAGAAGGUGUGCCCAAUGACACAAUAUACAUGCACAAAUAUAUAUUCAACAACUAUAUUUGCACAAAACACACAAUGACGUGUGGGGACAGUUUGUCAUAGACACAUUGCGCACUAGCAUACGUACAUGUAUAUAUAUAGUAGCAAAACUCGUAUUCACGUACACAUGCACACACGUGUGUACUUACACACAUGCAGCACACACACACACGUACACAUGCAGCACACACGUACACAUGCAACACACACGCGUACACGUAACAAAAAAACACGUACACGUACACACACAACACACGCGCAACACACACACUAGUACACGGACCCACCUGUCAUUGAGAUAAAGUGAGGCUUGUUAAAAAUUUAUAAAGUGGCCUUUGGCUUGGCAAAUAUGUAAAGUGUUGGUGCAAAUAUAGCAAGCUUUGUAAAAAAUAUUGAUGAAACCAUUUAUACAAAGGCUGUUGAAAAAGAUUUUUUGAAAAAGAUUUAUAAAAUAACAAGUGAACGUAAAUAUACAAAGGCUGUUGGAGAUACUUUGAACCAGGAAGCCAGCGUUCUGCUCUUUCUUUCCUGUACUAAGUGUCUCGUUGGUUGAAGCAACAUCUUCCCCAAUGCCUCACAAUCCAAUUACCAUUAUUCACCUCACAUGGGUGACAAAUCUUGAAUCCAUACACCACACGAGAAGAACAAAAGAGAAUGUAGAUCAUACCGGUGCCCAUCCUGUAUUUUAUUAUUAUAAAGUGGUGGAUAUGGACCAUAGUAUUUGUUGUAUACUUCUUUGCAUUGCAAGAAAUGAUGUAUCUUGAAGGACAUAUAUAGAGAGAGAGGGGUGUAAUGACCAUGUAUAGUUCUAGCUAUAAAUUAUGCAGCCGGGCCUGUAGAUAUCUCAACCACCUGCAUCCAUGAUACAAUUGAUUCUUUUGUGAGCAUUGGGAUUGCCCCACGAAAAGAAAAACAAAAAAACUGAGAGGCAACAAAAACUGAUGGUACGCGUCCUUAGAACUGCACGACAAGUGUAGUUAGCCAUCUCAAAACUGAUGUCAACAAAAGCUGGUGGUUCCUUAGAUGAUCCACAAUUCCAGGGGCUAAACUUCUAUAUAUAUCUCUCGAGCAAAUUUUAACAUGUUUCUUGUUACUCCCUAUUUUCAUACGGAAGGUAAGAAGGUAAGAGUUAAUCGGACUCACCAAUUAAUGCAAUCAAUGGUUCAGAUUUAUUUUACACUCUUACCUCUAUGUGAAAAGGGGAGGUAAGAGGGAGCAUGUUAAAAAACCUCAUCUUCCACAUAGCAAAAAUAAAUAAAUACCACCUAUCUUUACAACACCCUUCCCAAUUUUCUUUAACUUCACUGAAAUCAUCACCGUAUAUAAUAGAGCAAUUAGGUUUAAGUGUGUUUUUUGACAGUGGAUUUUUAACAUCUGGGUGCCUAGGCACGCUCUACGAACACUAACAUCAAAAUAAAUAGAAAAAAUAAUAAUUCUGAAACUUUGCAAGAUCAAAGACGAUCAAACUUUGUAGGUGCUUGUAAGUUUUCAUGCCAAAAAACAUUUGAGGAGGUCUACACAUGAAAAACAUUUCAGUACUUCAAAAUUUGAGCACUUUUAGCACCGAAAUCUAAAACUUGUUUGUACACCUUUCAUUACAUGAUAUUUUGGCAUGAAACUUGUUUCUCCCGAAGCAGUGUCCACCACCAACACCGUCGAGGAUCCACAUAGUGCCCACCACCACUUAGCCCUCAAGGCAACGCCUUCAGGAAGGUCACGCCGUCAAGGACGUCGCCGCCGCCCACCGGAGUUAUGGUUUUCACCCGAGGGCGGGUCGGGGGGAAGUAGAGGGGCAGACAUAGACUGGCGUCUCCAAGAAGAAAAUCGGCACCCUUGAGCGUCGUCGUCGGUGCGACCAGACGUGGCCGACCAAGAGUUUCCCCCAAUCUGUAUCUCCUUACCAGCUUCACCCGCAACCACAUGCCAAGGUCCCGGCAAGCCUGUCCGCUAGGAACCUUCACCCCCGCGCCCUGUGACCGAGUCCAAUCGUCGUGUCCCGACCACACCGACAACCAGCAUCACCACCAUGAGCUGCCCCACCGCGAAGACAAACAGGAGCAGGGAGCGAGCGAAGGACGCCCCAGCCCGGGCCAGCCACAUCCGCCGGGGGGCAGCCUCGCGCCAUCCGUGUCGCCGACGACCAGAUCGGGGUUGCGGACACCACGUGCACACCCCAAGCAGCCAUCCACGUAGUCACUAGGGCGCCACAACAGCCGUGGAGAACGCACGGGAGCCCGCCGUCGCCACCUGAGCCUGCCCCUCGCGCUCCGCCAUCAGCUCGCCGCCAGCCUCCGAGAGGACCGCCAGUGCCAUUCCCAUCAGCAGAGGGGAGAGGAAGUCCCGCCGCAGCCGACACCAGCUGUGCUUNNNNNNNNNNNNNNNNNNNNNNNNNNNNNNNNNNNNNNNNNNNNNNNNNNNNNNNNNNNNNNNNNNNNNNNNNNNNNNNNNNNNNNNNNNNNNNGGUGGAGCCGGCGGCACUAGGGGUUCCCCCUCGGUCGCCACAGGAACGACGCAAGGGGGGUACACGAGGGGGAUAAAAAAUGUGAUGAGACCAUAAACAAUCUAGGGUGCCUAGGCACCCGGGUGCUGUUAUACCUUUCUCUUUUUAGAUAAGAAAUUCACAGAAUCUAUCCUUGUUGAUAGAAAGAAUGCUAGUUUAAGAUGAAAAGGAAGUGCUCGUGGAUGUGGAUGUGACCACCAUGAAGCAUGCCUCCUUUGCAAUCAAUCUAUCAAAUCUGUUGUGCAUAUUUUCUGUCAGUGUCCCUUCUCUGUGGGAACGACUUGAGCUCCAUCAAGAUGCCUUGGUGGAGCAACGUCGCUACGUACUGGGAACCAAAAGAAUGCAACUGUUGCAGCCUAUUCUUCCUGGCAUAUUUGGAACGAACGAAAUCAAUGUAUUUUUCAGAACUCCAUCGCGAACCAUAGCGUUGCCGUCAGUCAGAGAUCAUCUUUGAUCUCGCCAAGCUGGGUGCCCCAAAUCCGCGGGUUUAAUCUCUCUCAUUGUUGCACAGUCAGCGCCUAAUGGCGACUGAACCCCUUUCUUGUUCUCCUAAACUAUUACAUGAAUCUUCCUAGUCUAUAAUGCAAAGGCCGAGUUCCUGUCAGUUUAGCUUCAAAAAAAGAUGGAAAGGAAGUGAAUGAAGUCAGCUAACUUUAGCUUUAUGUGCUCGCUUGAUUAAUAUUUAAUGCUAGUAAACAUUUGUUCACGGCACCUUUUUCUGAUCUUGGCAUGCACUGCAUUGCACGGAGCAAGAUCAUUUCCACGUACUUUGUCGUGGUGUGCAAGACACACAAGACAGCAAGGACCGGAAAAGUCCCUUCCCCGAUCCCCUGAUGGCAGUGGCUGAGGUGGAAGGAGCAGCUGUGGCUGGGGGGGGUGCUGCAGCCGGCGGAGGAACAUAUGUUUGGGAUGGAGCCAACGACGACUCUAACAUGCAGGGCAUCGAGUGCUGGGGGUUGAGAUCAUAACGGGAGCUAGGAGACAAGCUAAGCACGGGAGGAAGUUUUGCUAGGCUCGCAUACAGAUUAUGUCAAACUCAAGACUAGGCUGAAACCAAGUCCAACUUUUAAGGCUUAGAUGAGCGUGGCAAAGCCGUGGCUUGCCUCGGCUCGUUUCCAUCCCAAGGACUAGCCUCUAGCUAGACAGGGAGUGUUUAACUUUCUUUUUUUCCAUAGUGGAUUGGUGACAGUAGUUACAUUUUUUCCAAUGACUCUCAAUCCAAUUACCACUCGUCUCACGACGGAAAUAGAUCUUGAAUUCAUAGAGUAUGGGAGAAGAACAAAGAAGGAUGUAGAUCAUACCGUGGUUGCCAGGGUGUUUAUUGUUCCAUGUAUUGCAAGAGAUGUUGUAUCUUGGGGGAUAUAUGUAGAGAUAUCUGUGAUAACGACGAAAAUAUUUCACACCUCUUUUCUCCAAUGCCCACUUGCGAGAGUUUUUUGGCAGACGGUUCACAUAGCCUUUAAUAUUAUACCUCCGGGCAGUAUUGACACGUUAUUUG